This 77-nucleotide transfer RNA is filed under the name Eubacteriales Family XIII. Incertae Sedis bacterium. RNAcentral's name for it is "tRNA-Pro". It matches the Rfam family "tRNA". Rfam says of the family: Transfer RNA (tRNA) molecules are approximately 80 nucleotides in length. Lineage: Bacteria; Bacillati; Bacillota; Clostridia; Peptostreptococcales; Anaerovoracaceae. The record is from RNAcentral.
CGAGGUAUAGCUCAGCUUGGUAGAGCGCUACGUUCGGGACGUAGAGGCCACAGGUUCGAAUCCUGCUACCUCGACCA